Molecule: ribosomal RNA, 228 nt
Filed under: Pelobates cultripes (western spadefoot toad)
Lineage: Eukaryota; Metazoa; Chordata; Amphibia; Anura; Pelobatidae
Description: SSU_rRNA_microsporidia
Rfam family: Eukaryotic small subunit ribosomal RNA
Source: RNAcentral
CUCAGCAGUCGUCACGCAGGGACUUUAGUGACUCUAGAUAACCUCGGGCCGAUCGCAUUCGGAUGUCCUGUCAACUUUCGCUGGUACUUUCUGCGCCUACCAUGGUGACCAUGGGUAAUGGGGAAUCAGGGUACGAUUCCGUAGAGGGAGCAUGAGAAACGGCUACCACAUCCAAGGAAGGCAGCAGGCGCGCAAAUUACCCACUCCCAACGCGGGGAGGUAGUGACG